RNAcentral lists this ribosomal RNA (557 nucleotides) under Piscibacillus sp. Its description in RNAcentral is "bacterial SSU rRNA". It matches the Rfam family "Bacterial small subunit ribosomal RNA", at positions 1 to 526 of the family's 1533-position model. The record is from RNAcentral. Lineage: Bacteria; Bacillati; Bacillota; Bacilli; Caryophanales; Bacillaceae.
UGGAGAAAUUUGAUCCUGGCUCAGGACGAACGCUGGCGGCGUGCCUAAUACAUGCAAGUCGAGCGCGGGAAGCAAACCGAAAUCCCUUCGGGAGGACGUUUGUGGAACGAGCGGCGGACGGGUGAGUAACACGUGGGCAACCUGCCUGUAAGACUGGGAUAACUCCGGGAAACCGGGGCUAAUACCGGAUAACUCAUCGGAUCGCAUGAUCCGAGGUUGAAAGAUGGCUUCUUGCUAUCACUUACAGAUGGGCCCGCGGCGCAUUAGCUAGUUGGUGAGGUAACGGCUCACCAAGGCCACGAUGCGUAGCCGACCUGAGAGGGUGAUCGGCCACACUGGGACUGAGACACGGCCCAGACUCCUACGGGAGGCAGCAGUAGGGAAUCAUCCGCAAUGGACGAAAGUCUGACGGUGCAACGCCGCGUGAGUGAGGAAGGCCUUCGGGUCGUAAAACUCUGUUGUUAGGGAAGAACAAGUUCCGUUCGAAUAGGGCGGAGCCUUGACGGUACCUAACCAGAAAGCCACGGCUAACUACGUGCCAGCAGCCGCGGUAAUAA